This is an RNA transcript of Cucumis sativus (cucumber), 2964 nucleotides long. It is a transcript of the gene named sulfate transporter 1.3, with no coding region annotated. The transcript has 17 exons. The record is from RefSeq and is a predicted model, not a curated record. NCBI's taxonomy places the organism in Eukaryota, Viridiplantae, Streptophyta, Magnoliopsida, Cucurbitales, Cucurbitaceae.
CCAUGAAAUUAUUUUAUAACUUAAAUUCCUCAGUCAUACAACAAUGAUCUUUCAAAGACAGAAACAUUUCUGACCUUCAACUGUGGGGAAGAACAAGGAAAGAUCAACAACAGCAGCAACCAAAAAGAUAAUCAAAUCUUAAACAGCUUUGAAUAAAGGAAAAAGGCAUCUUCUUUUUUUUAUGAGAGGCACAACAGGGGACACAAGAAAAAAGGUGAUAAAUUGACAGUACAAAUGAGUGACGAGAGAGAGAAUUCAGUUGAUGAAAAACUUGAAACAAAGGAGAUGGAUAACAGAAGUUUGAUUCCAGAUGAUCAAGCACAGGAUGAGCGAUACAUUCACAAAGUUGGAGUUCCUCCAAAGCAAAAACUCUACAAAGAAAUCAAGUCUGCAGUGAAAGAAACGUUUUUCCCAGAUGAUCCUCUCCGUUCAUUCAAGGAUCAAACUAAGAAGCGGAAAUUUAUACUCGGCAUCCAAGCGGUUUUCCCGAUACUUGAUUGGGGAAGAAAUUAUAAUUUGACUAAGUUUAGAGGAGAUGUUAUUUCUGGAUUAACAAUUGCUAGUCUUUGCAUCCCACAGGAUAUUGGGUAUGCCAAGCUUGCAAAUUUGUCUCCAGAGUAUGGUUUGUACUCCAGUUUUGUUCCACCAUUAAUCUACGCAAUUAUGGGUAGCUCAAGAGAUAUAGCCAUUGGUCCAGUUGCUGUUGUUUCUCUCUUGUUGGGGACACUGCUUCAAGAGGAAAUCGAUUCUGCUACAAAUCCAAAAGACUACCUUCGGCUAGCAUUUACAGCUACAUUUUUUGCAGGGAUCACACAAGCCACCCUUGGAAUUCUGAGGUUGGGAUUCCUUAUUGACUUCUUGUCCCAUGCUGCCAUUGUUGGCUUCAUGGGAGGAGCUGCCAUCACCAUUGCUCUCCAACAACUCAAAGGCUUUCUUGGCAUAAAGAAGUUCACAAAGAAAACAGAUAUUAUCUCUGUUAUGCAGUCCGUAUUUGGCUCAAUGAGACACGGAUGGAACUGGCAAACAAUAGUGAUUGCUACAACCUUCCUUGGAUUCCUUCUAUUUGCAAAAUACAUGGGAAAGAAGAACAAGAGGCUCUUCUGGGUGCCUGCAAUUGCUCCACUUAUAUCUGUUGUACUUUCUACCUUUCUCGUCUUCAUAACUCAUGCAGAUAAGGAAGGAGUUGCAAUUGUGAAACACAUAGAGAAAGGAAUCAAUCCCCCAUCUGUAAAAGACUUAUUUUUAUCAGGCCAAUACCUUCUAAAAGGGUUUAAGAUUGGUGUCGUGGCAGGAAUGGUGGCACUGACGGAAGCCGUUGCGAUUGGAAGAACAUUUGCUUCAAUGAAAGACUAUCAAAUAGAUGGAAACAAGGAAAUGGUAGCAAUGGGAGUCAUGAAUGUUGUUGGUUCAAUGUCUUCCUGCUAUGUAGCAACAGGAUCAUUCUCUCGAUCGGCUGUAAAUUACAUGGCUGGCUGCCAAACUGCAGUCUCUAACAUUGUGAUGUCCAUUGUAGUACUACUAACCUUGGCAUUCCUCACCCCACUUUUCAAAUAUACUCCUAACGCGAUUCUGUCUGCUAUCAUCAUAUCCGCUGUGAUCAACCUGAUCGACUUGUAUGCAGUGAAACUGAUUUGGAAGAUUGAUAAAUUUGAUUUUGUUGCUUGUAUGGGAGCCUUCUUCGGUGUCAUCUUUUUCUCUGUUGAGAUAGGCCUUCUUGUUGCGGUAUGCAUUUCCUUCGCCAAAAUCCUUCUACAAGUUACCAGGCCAAGGACUGCAAUUCUCGGAAAGAUCCCGAGGACGACUGUUUACCGAAACAUACUACAAUAUCCUGAAGCAACCAAGGUUCCUGGCCUUUUGAUUGUGAGAGUUGAUUCGGCAAUUUACUUUUCCAACUCCAAUUACAUCAAAGAAAGGAUAUUGAGAUGGCUGGUUGAUGAGGAAGAACAAACGAAAAAGUUAUACCAGAACAAAAUCCAGUUUCUAAUAGUUGAAAUGUCACCUGUUACUGACAUAGACACCAGUGGCAUACAUGCUUUGGAAGAGCUAAAUGGGAGUCUGAAGAAACGAGAAAUUCAGGGACAACCAGGUGUAUGGUGAUAUAGAGUCCACAUCCACGUCUUUGCAUGUAAAAAUGAUGAAAAUGCAGAGAGGAAGAAGGAGAAGAUCACACAUGAUUUUUAAAGUGGUUCAUCACCGUUGAUGCUCGUCGAACGUUUGUUUUAAGGAAAGAAAAGGACGAUUGUUAAUAAUCUUUCGUCGAACGUUUGUUUGAAAAGAAGAAGAAGAUGCUCUUUCACUAAUGCUCUCUGAACGUUUGUUUGAAGGAACGUUUAUUUGCAGUCACUGUCAGUGCUCACUGAAUGUCUGAAGGGUUUGAAGAAGGUUUCAAAUGAUUUGAAGCACGAUGUACAUUUCAUCGUACGUUCAAACCGUUGAUGCAAAAACCUGAAGAAGACGACUAUUUUGCUGUACGUUUGAAGAGUUCUGUUGUACGUUUGAAGAAUGCUCGCCAAUACUCGUUGUCCGUUUAAAAAUCUGUUGAUGCUCAUCAUACGUUUGAAGAAUGCUUGCCAAUGUUGUUGAUUCCGUAAAGGAUUUGAACCUUUUGCUGAUGUUCGCCGUCCGUUUAAAAAUCUGUGAUGCUAUAUGGGUUUUGAAGCACGAGUAAGAGACACCUAAUUGCCUCAACUUUUAUUUAGAGAUUAUUUUGAUGGAGGUGAAAUUGUGCUUUUUGGGGGAAAUUAAGAUUUUGAUGGCUUUUAAUUGAUUUUAUUGUUUUGAAAGAGAAAAAAUUAGGGGAUAAUGUAAUGGUUAUUUUUGGAGAGAUUGAGUCCAUUAUGGAGCAUUAUAUUUGAGAUUUUGGAAUAGUUGUAUUUUAGAUAUUAGUUCGUUGAGGACACAUAUUUGUAGCAGUAUUUUUUUUUCAUUUCUUACGAUUUUGCUAUUUCAACGAUUUAAAUUUAA